This 158-nucleotide ribosomal RNA is filed under the name Russulales sp. H-117. RNAcentral describes it as "5.8S ribosomal RNA". It matches the Rfam family "5.8S ribosomal RNA". Rfam says of the family: 5.8S ribosomal RNA (5.8S rRNA) is a component of the large subunit of the eukaryotic ribosome. It is transcribed by RNA polymerase I as part of the 45S precursor that also contains 18S and 28S rRNA. Lineage: Eukaryota; Fungi; Basidiomycota; Agaricomycetes; Russulales. The record is from RNAcentral.
CAACUUUCAACAACGGAUCUCCUUGGCUCUCGCAUCGAUGAAGAACGCAGCGAAAUGCGAUACGUAAUGUGAAUUGCAGAAUUCAGUGAAUCAUCGAAUCUUUGAACGCACCUUGCGCCCCUUGGUAUUCCGAGGGGCACACCCGUUUGAGUGUCGUG